RNAcentral lists this long non-coding RNA (636 nucleotides) under Homo sapiens (human). Its description in RNAcentral is "HSALNT0396457". Lineage: Eukaryota; Metazoa; Chordata; Mammalia; Primates; Hominidae. The record is from RNAcentral.
CCGGGUUCAAGCGAUUCUCCUGCCUCAGCCUCCUGAGUAGCUGGGAUUACAGGUGCCCACCACCAAGCCUGGCUAAUUUUUGUAUUUUUUAGCAGAGACGGGGUUUCACCAUGUUGGCCAGGCUGAUCUCAAACUCCUGACCUCAAGUGAUCCACCCGCCUCGGCCUCCCAAAGUGCUGGGAUUACAGGCGUGCACCAACGCGCCCGGCCAUUUUUAAUUUUUUAAUUGUAGAGGCAGGGGUCUUGCUAUGUUGCCCAGGCUCAUCUAGAACUCAAGUGGUUCUCCCUACUCGGCCUUCCAAAAUGCUGGGAUUACAGGUGUGAGGCACCACACACGGCCAAGUCUUCGCUAUUGUCUUAACCAGUUUAAAGAGAUGAAAUAGAUCAACUGAAAAGUAAUAAUCCUGCCUUUUCUGGGGGGCAGGGGGGAAGACAGCGGGCAUCUUCCAAGACCAGAAAUGUUCAGAAUUUUGUUGUUUCUAUUACUGUACAAAUGAGAAAACUGAGGCACACAGGCCAGGUGCAGUGGCUCAUGCCUGUAAUGCAAGCACUUUGGGAAGAUGGGGCAGGUGGAUCACUUGAGGUCAAGAGUUCGAGACCAGCCUGCCCAAUAUGGUGAAACUCUGUCUCUACUAA